Molecule: ribosomal RNA, 22 nt
Filed under: Tetranychus urticae (two-spotted spider mite)
Lineage: Eukaryota; Metazoa; Arthropoda; Arachnida; Trombidiformes; Tetranychidae
Description: partial 18S ribosomal RNA
Source: RNAcentral
GUGACCUGCGGAGGAUCAUUAA